AUUGAACGCUGGCGGCAUGCUUUACACAUGCAAGUCGAACGGCAGCGCGGGCUUCGGCCUGCCGGCGAGUGGCGAACGGGUGAGUAAUACAUCGGAACGUGCCCAGUAGUGGGGGAUAGCUCGGCGAAAGCCGGAUUAAUACCGCAUACGACCUGAGGGUGAAAGCGGGGGAUCUUCGGACCUCGCGCUAUUGGAGCGGCCGAUGGCAGAUUAGCUAGUUGGUGGGGUAAAGGCCUACCAAGGCGACGAUCUGUAGCUGGUCUGAGAGGACGACCAGCCACACUGGGACUGAGACACGGCCCAGACUCCUACGGGAGGCAGCAGUGGGGAAUUUUGGACAAUGGGCGAAAGCCUGAUCCAGCAAUGCCGCGUGUGUGAUGAAGGCCUUCGGGUUGUAAAGCACUUUUGGCGGGAACGAAAAGGACUGUGCCAAUACCACGGUUCGAUGACGGUACCCGCAGAAUAAGCACCGGCUAACUACGUG
RNAcentral lists this ribosomal RNA (484 nucleotides) under uncultured bacterium. RNAcentral describes it as "partial 16S ribosomal RNA". It matches the Rfam family "Bacterial small subunit ribosomal RNA", at positions 29 to 507 of the family's 1533-position model. The record is from RNAcentral.